RNAcentral lists this ribosomal RNA (255 nucleotides) under uncultured bacterium. RNAcentral's name for it is "partial 16S ribosomal RNA". It matches the Rfam family "Bacterial small subunit ribosomal RNA", at positions 524 to 776 of the family's 1533-position model. The record is from RNAcentral.
UACGUAGGGGGCAAGCGUUGUCCGGAUUCAUUGGGCGUAAAGAGCGUGUAGGCGGCCAGGUAGGUCGGUUGUGAAAACUGGAGGCUCAACCUUCAGAGGUCGACCGAAACCAUCUGGCUAGAGUCCGGGAGAGGAGAGUGGAAUUCCUGGUGUAGCGGUGAAAUGCGCAGAUAUCAGGAAGAACACCCGUGGCGAAAGCGGCUCACUGGUCCGAUACUGACGCUGGAGGUGACGAAAGCGUGGGGAGCAAACAGG